AGCCAGACUCCUACGGGAGGCAGCAGUGGGGAAUAUUGCACAAUGGGGGAAACCCUGAUGCAGCGACGCCGCGUGAGUGAAGAAGUAUUUCGGUAUGUAAAGCUCUAUCAGCAGGGAAGAAAAUGACGGUACCUGAUUAAGAAGCCCCGGCUAACUACGUGCCAGCAGCCGCGGUAAUACGUAGGGGGCAAGCGUUAUCCGGAUUUACUGGGUGUAAAGGGAGCGUAGACGGCAGUGCAAGUCUGAAGUGAAAGCCCCGGGCUUAACCCGGGAACUGCUUUGGAAACUGUACGGCUGGAGUGCUGGAGAGGUAAGCGGAAUUCCUAGUGUAGCGGUGAAAUGCGUAGAUAUUAGGAGGAACACCAGUGGCGAAGGCGGCUUACUGGACAGUAACUGACGUUGAGGCUCGAAAGCGUGGGGAGCAAACAGGAUUAGAUACCCCAGUACCG
This 449-nucleotide ribosomal RNA is filed under the name uncultured bacterium. Its description in RNAcentral is "bacterial SSU rRNA". It matches the Rfam family "Bacterial small subunit ribosomal RNA", at positions 329 to 793 of the family's 1533-position model. The record is from RNAcentral.